Molecule: long non-coding RNA, 510 nt
Filed under: Hordeum vulgare
Lineage: Eukaryota; Viridiplantae; Streptophyta; Magnoliopsida; Poales; Poaceae
Description: long non-coding RNA (HVUL_LNC020784)
Source: RNAcentral
UGCCACUGACGGUGGCGCCGGAGGCUGGGGAGCAGCUACUACUCCUGGUGCUGCUGGUAACGACUCAGGAUGGGGCAGCGCCAAGAAGGCCGUCCCAGCACCGGAUGCCGGAGGUGGGUGGGGGUCUGGCGGUGGGGGCUGGUGAAGGAUAUGUGCUUUUGCUGCAUAAACCAUAAACUACCGUAGAACUAUCGAAUGGAAACCUUUUUUCUUUUCUUGGUAUGGACCCUGUUAUGUUUCUGCUUACUGUUAUCAUGGGAGAAAGUUGGCACCAGUUUGGGACUUGGUAAUCUGCUAGCUGCUGCCGCUGGCCUUGUUAUACCCUGGACGGCCUUAUAUGUUUCGAUGCAUGUACAGUUUCCAGACAUUUGGUAUCUUGUGUCUUUGGUAGCCUCAGUAUUCCUACGAUGUCUAUGAUCUAAUAGCACUUGUUAGGUCGCCAGGUAGCAUCGUGUUAGUUUGCCAAAUUGCCAUGAACUUAGGAUUACCUACCUUAUGCUGUACGUACGC